This is a long non-coding RNA of Oncorhynchus keta (chum salmon), 193 nucleotides long. RefSeq lists it as uncharacterized. The record is from RefSeq and is a predicted model, not a curated record. The transcript is spliced from 3 exons. Lineage: Eukaryota; Metazoa; Chordata; Actinopteri; Salmoniformes; Salmonidae.
AUCGGUAGGAGAAGGUUUGUAUGGGAGAUCGGUAGGAGAAGGUUUGUAUGGAGAUCGGUAGGAGAAGGUUUGUAUGGGAGAUCGGUAGGAGAAGGUUUGUAUGGAGAUCGGUAGGAGAAGGUUUGUAUGGGAGAUCGGUAGGAGAAGGUUUGUAUGGAGAUCGGUAGGAGAAGGUUUGUAUGGAGAUCGGUAG